UAUAUAUUAAUGUUUAAGCAUAUUAAUUUUUGAAAUUAAUAGUAAUAAUUUAUUUUAUUAUAUAUAA
This 67-nucleotide transfer RNA is filed under the name Merostenus sp. RNAcentral describes it as "tRNA-Gln". Lineage: Eukaryota; Metazoa; Arthropoda; Insecta; Hymenoptera; Eupelmidae. The record is from RNAcentral.